CCAGCGGCCGGUGUGUGCGGUGCUGCUCCCGGCGCGGUGACGGCUUCUGGAUGGAGUUUCAAUUAUUGUACGAGACCACAAUGUGCGGCAGUACGUGUGCCGCCGUUGGUACCGAUAUUAGAAACGUCCAUCUGCCGGUCAAAACUCAACUGCGGCAGACGUAAACUCCAGCUCUCUCAAGGUACGGCUGGCAGUUCGCGAGCUGGGGAUACUGCUCCAGUACACCGACCAAUGGACGUCACUUCAAUGGAUCACGUGACCUACUUGACCUGGUGGUGCUGAUUUCUGCUGGGGGCCGUCCGAGCGUCUGGUCCUUUCAUCCUGUUCGAAGGAGCCCCUCACAGACCAUAGCUCAUGUGCGGCAGUACGUGUACCGCUGUUGGUACCGAGAUAAACGUCCAUCUGCCGGUCAAAACUGGACUGCGGCAUAUGGAAACUCCAGCUCUCUCACAACUAGGUACGGCUGGCAGUUCGCGAGUUGGGGACACUGCUCCAGUACACCAACCAAUGGACGUCACUUCCAGGGAUCACGUGACCCACUUGACUCGGUGGCGCUGGUGUCCAGCUGACAACUGACCGUCCUCCGUGACCUGCCGCUGGAGCCGCUCGUAGGUCUUUUUCGACCGGCGCCGGUCUCCUCUGCAGUCCGGGCGACCACAGACACCAUCAGCACAGUGAAGAACAUCGCAGCAGCGGGUUGGAAUCGGAGGAGAGCCGGUGGUGUCGCGCAACAGUCACUGAAUGUGACUGAUGGUGUCCGAGGGGGUAAUCGGAGGAAUGCAGGUUUACCUGACUUCUCUCCUCAUUACCCCCUCCCAUACUUGGGUGGUAUGUUGGAGCCCAGACAUACCACCCAAGUACUUAUACUGGGUGGGGGAGGGUAACAGGGUGGUCCCUGGUGG
Molecule: long non-coding RNA, 902 nt
Organism: Amphibalanus amphitrite
Lineage: Eukaryota; Metazoa; Arthropoda; Thecostraca; Balanomorpha; Balanidae
Exons: 8
Source: RefSeq, a predicted model, not a curated record